AUUGAACGCUGGCGGAAUGCUUUACACAUGCAAGUCGAACGGUAGAGGGGGCAACCCCUCGAGAGUGGCGAACGGGUGAGUAAUAUAUCGGAACGUGCCCAGUCGCGGGGGAUAACGUAGCGAAAGUUACGCUAAUACCGCAUACGAUCUAAGGAUGAAAGCGGGGGAUCGCAAGACCUCGCGCGCUUGGAGCGGCCGAUAGCAGAUUAGGUAGUUGGUGGGGUAAAGGCUCACCAAGCCAACGAUCUGUAGCUGGUCUGAGAGGACGACCAGCCAAACUGGAACUGAGACACGGUCCAGACUCCUACGGGAGGCAGCAGUGGGGAAUUUUGGACAAUGGACGCAAGUCUGAUCCAGCCAUUCCGCGUGCAGGAUGAAGGCCCUCGGGUUGUAAACUGCUUUUGUACGGAACGAAAAGGUCUCUCUUAAUACGGGGGGCUCAUGACGGUACCGUAAGAAUAAGCACCGGCUAACUACGUGCCAGCCGCCGCAGUAA
Molecule: ribosomal RNA, 496 nt
Filed under: uncultured bacterium
Lineage: Bacteria
Description: partial 16S ribosomal RNA
Rfam family: Bacterial small subunit ribosomal RNA
Source: RNAcentral